RNAcentral lists this ribosomal RNA (498 nucleotides) under uncultured bacterium. Its description in RNAcentral is "partial 16S ribosomal RNA". It matches the Rfam family "Bacterial small subunit ribosomal RNA", at positions 30 to 523 of the family's 1533-position model. The record is from RNAcentral.
AUUGAACGCUGGCGGCAUGCCUUACACAUGCAAGUCGAACGGUAACAGGUCUUCGGAUGCUGACGAGUGGCGAACGGGUGAGUAAUACAUCGGAACGUGCCCGAGAGUGGGGGAUAACGAAGCGAAAGCUUUGCUAAUACCGCAUACGAUCCCAGGAUGAAAGCAGGGGACCGCAAGGCCUUGCGCUCACGGAGCGGCCGAUGGCAGAUUAGGUAGUUGGUGGGAUAAAAGCUUACCAAGCCGACGAUCUGUAGCUGGUCUGAGAGGACGACCAGCCACACUGGGACUGAGACACGGCCCAGACUCCUACGGGAGGCAGCAGUGGGGAAUUUUGGACAAUGGGCGCAAGCCUGAUCCAGCCAUGCCGCGUGCAGGAUGAAGGCCUCCGGGUUGUAAACUGCUUUUGUACGGAACGAAAAGACUCUGGUUAAUACCUGGGGUCCAUGACGGUACCGUAAGAAUAAGCACCGGCUAACUACGUGCCAGCAGCCGCCGUAA